AAACAGGAUUAGAUACCCUGGUAGUCCAUACCGUAAACGAUGAAUGCUAAGUGUUGGAGGGUUCCGCCCUUCAGUGCUGCAGCUAACGCAUUAAGCAUUCCGCCUGGGGAGUACGGCCGCAAGGCUGAAACUCAAAGGAAUUGACGGGGGCCCGCACAAGCGGUGGAGCAUGUGGUUUAAUUCGAAGCUACGCGAAGAACCUUACCAGGUCUUGACAUACUAUGCAAAUCUAAGAGAUUAGACGUUCCCUUCGGGGACAUGGAUACAGGUGGUGCAUGGUUGUCGUCAGCUCGUGUCGUGAGAUGUUGGGUUAAGUCCCGCAACGAGCGCAACCCUUAUUAUCAGUUGCCAGCAUUAAGUUGGGCACUCUGGUGAGACUGCCGGUGACAAACCGGAGGAAGGUGGGGAUGACGUCAAAUCAUCAUGCCCCUUAUGACCUGGGCUACACACGUGCUACAAUGGAUGGUACAACGAGUUGCGAACUCGCGAGAGUAAGCUAAUCUCUUAAGGCCAUUCUCAGUUCGGAUUGUAGGCUGCAACUCGCCUACAUGAAGUCGGAAUCGCUAGUAAUCGCGGAUCAGCAUGCCGCGGUGAAUACGUUCCCGGGCCUUGUACACACCGCCCGUCACACCAUGAGAGUUUGUAACACCCAAAGUCGGUGGGGUAACCUUUAGGAACCAGCCGCCUAAGGUGGGACAGAUGAUUAGGGUGAAGUCGUAACAAGGUAACCA
RNAcentral lists this ribosomal RNA (731 nucleotides) under uncultured Lactobacillus sp. RNAcentral's name for it is "bacterial SSU rRNA". It matches the Rfam family "Bacterial small subunit ribosomal RNA", at positions 770 to 1502 of the family's 1533-position model. Lineage: Bacteria; Bacillati; Bacillota; Bacilli; Lactobacillales; Lactobacillaceae. The record is from RNAcentral.